CGCAAUAGCUCAGUCGGUAGAGCGUUUCACUCGUAAUGAAAAGGUCGCCGGUUCGAUUCC
This 60-nucleotide transfer RNA is filed under the name human gut metagenome. It matches the Rfam family "tRNA", at positions 7 to 60 of the family's 71-position model. Rfam says of the family: Transfer RNA (tRNA) molecules are approximately 80 nucleotides in length. The record is from RNAcentral.